Molecule: ribosomal RNA, 301 nt
Filed under: uncultured bacterium
Lineage: Bacteria
Description: partial 16S ribosomal RNA
Rfam family: Bacterial small subunit ribosomal RNA
Source: RNAcentral
CAGCAGCCACGGUAAUACGAAGGGGGCUAGCGUUGUUCGGAUUUACUGGGCGUAAAGGGCGCGUAGGCGGACUGAUAAGUCAGGGGUGAAAUCCCAAGGCUCAACCUUGGAACUGCCUUUGAUACUGUUUGUCUUGAGUUCGAGAGAGGUAAGUGGAACUGCGAGUGUAGAGGUGAAAUUCGUAGAUAUUGGGAAGAACACCGGUGGCGAAGGCGACUCUCUGGUCUGUAACUGACGCUGAGGAGCGAAAGCGUGGGGAGCGAACAGGAUUAGAUACCCGUGUAGUCCCUGUCUCUUAUAA